GAUGAACGCUGGCGGCGUGCCUAAUACAUGCAAGUCGAGCGAACAGACGAGGAGCUUGCUCCUCUGACGUUAGCGGCGGACGGGUGAGUAACACGUGGAUAACCUACCUAUAAGACUGGGAUAACUUCGGGAAACCGGAGCUAAUACCGGAUAAUAUAUUGAACCGCAUGGUUCAAUAGUGAAAGACGGUUUUGCUGUCACUUAUAGAUGGAUCCGCGCCGCAUUAGCUAGUUGGUAAGGUAACGGCUUACCAAGGCAACGAUGCGUAGCCGACCUGAGAGGGUGAUCGGCAACACUGGAACUGAGACACGGUCCAGACUCCUACGGGAGGCAGCAGUAGGGAAUCUUCCGCAAUGGGCGAAAGCCUGAAGGAGCAACGCCGCGUGAGUGAUGAAGGUCUUCGGAUCGUAAAACUCUGUUAUUAGGGAAGAACAAAUGUGUAAGUAACUAUGCACGUCUUGACGGUACCUAAUCAGAAAGCCACGGCUAACUACGUG
Molecule: ribosomal RNA, 497 nt
Filed under: uncultured bacterium
Lineage: Bacteria
Description: partial 16S ribosomal RNA
Rfam family: Bacterial small subunit ribosomal RNA
Source: RNAcentral